GACGAACGCUGGCGGCGUGCUUAACACAUGCAAGUCGAACGAUAAAGCCGAGAAACUCUGACUUCGUCUCAAAUUUAACUUGGGAUUAGUGGCAGACGAGCGUGUACCGCGUGAUCAACCUACCUCUUGCAACGGGGUCGCCUCCCGGAACCGUGCUUCUUACCCUAUGACACAUUCGUAAAGUAUCUGCGGAAUGUUAAAGAGACGGGGGUAAGCGGUGGGCUCGUGUCCCAUUGGCUAGGCGGUGAGGUAACGGCACACCAGGGCGACGAUGUGGACCUGGGAGGGGAGGGUGAACCGUCACGUUGGAACUGAGGCACGGUCCACACUCGUACGGGAGGGAGCAGUGGGUAAUACUGCACAAUGGAGGGAGCUCUGAUGCAGCGACGCCGCGUGAGCGAUGAAGGAAUUCGUAUAGUAAAGCUCUGUUCUAUGGGAAGAGAAUGACGGUACCAGAUGAGAAAGCCCCGGCUAAAUACGUG
RNAcentral lists this ribosomal RNA (482 nucleotides) under uncultured bacterium. RNAcentral's name for it is "partial 16S ribosomal RNA". It matches the Rfam family "Bacterial small subunit ribosomal RNA", at positions 28 to 507 of the family's 1533-position model. The record is from RNAcentral.